GUAUUACUAUAAUUUGUUAGGAUUUGGAGCAUGCUGGGUGGUUUUGUUUUAAUCUUGGUGUUUAGGUGGAGUUGUGGGAGGCUUCCUGAGUGACUAAGCUGAGUUUUCCCUGGUUUGCUGUUACACACAUAUCUAGACUGUGUAUGUCAGGACUGGCAGUGGUAUGGUGGUAAAUCGGCCCUCCUGUUGAUUUGGCAAGUUUUUCAUGAGAGCAACACACACUCACCUCUUGCUGCUCAACCAGUAUUUUUUUUCCUUACAAAUGUGGUGCCAAUUAAUAAACAGGCUUUCCAGCAGUGUAAGAUUUAUUGCUAAGAAGCACUGUUACGACAAAGAAAUAACCAACUAAAAACAAAUUUCCUUACUUUUGUCAUUUGAAUCUUAAUUUACUUACAGAUCAUCUAAAUCAUGAAGAAGAUCAGACUUGGUGAAGAUAAAGUGAAUUUGCUGACAUUCGCCAUCAUUUCCAGUGAGGCUACUAACACUUUCCAGGAUCUCCCAGGCUGCUUUCACUGAUGCUGCUCGAUUAAUUCACCAUUUCCUUUUCUUGAGUCAUUUCUUGUCUACUUGACACAUUCUGCAGAGAGUUCAUCAGCCUGCAAUAAAUAACAAAAAUGUGAUCCAGACUCUGCCAACAAGAGCUCACACUGCCCUACUGACCUGAAAUACAGUGGCAUGAAAACGUGUUUGCCCCCUUCCUGUUUUUGUGUUAGUUUGUUUGUCACACAUGUGUUGUUUCAGAUCAUCAAACAAAUUUAAAUAUUACAGAAAGAUAAUAAAAGUAAACACAAAAUGCAGUUUCUAAAUGAAAGUGUUUUUUAUUAUUUUUAUUAUUAUUAUUAUUUUAUUUUACCUUGAGAAUUGAAUGAACCCAUAAUCUCAGUUUCUUCUUUUUCUUGUGUAGAAACAUCAGGAUCAGCUCAUUGUCACUUGUCACAAGUGAAAUUCUUGAGGAACACCAGGAAG
Oreochromis aureus is the source of this 966-nucleotide long non-coding RNA. NCBI's taxonomy places the organism in Eukaryota, Metazoa, Chordata, Actinopteri, Cichliformes, Cichlidae. The record is from Ensembl.